UGAGGAAUAUUGGGCAAUGGAGGCAACUCUGACCCAGCCAUGCCGCGUGAGUGAGAAGGUUUUCGAAUUGUAAAGCUCUUUCGGGUGUGAAGAUGAUGACGGUAACACCAGAAGAAGCCCCGGCAAACUUCGUGCCAGCAGCCGCGGUAAUACGAAGGGGGCGAGCGUUGUUCGGAAUUACUGGGCGUAAAGGGUGUGUAGGCGGUUAAGUAAGAUAGUGGUGAAAUGCCGGGGCUCAACCUCGGAAUUGCCAUUAUGACUAUUUAGCUAGAAUGAUGCAGAGGAUAGCGGAAUACCCAGUGUAGAGGUGAAAUUCGUAGAUAUUGGGUAGAACACCAGAGGCGAAGGCGGCUAUCUGGGCAUUGAUUGACGCUGAGGCACGAAAGCAUGGGGAUCAAACA
This 401-nucleotide ribosomal RNA is filed under the name uncultured bacterium. Its description in RNAcentral is "bacterial SSU rRNA". It matches the Rfam family "Bacterial small subunit ribosomal RNA", at positions 355 to 774 of the family's 1533-position model. The record is from RNAcentral.